This 253-nucleotide ribosomal RNA is filed under the name uncultured bacterium. RNAcentral's name for it is "partial 16S ribosomal RNA". It matches the Rfam family "Bacterial small subunit ribosomal RNA", at positions 524 to 776 of the family's 1533-position model. The record is from RNAcentral.
UACGGAGGGGGCUAGCGUUGUUCGGAAUUACUGGGCGUAAAGCGUGCGUAGGCGGAUUGGAAAGUUAGAUGUGAAAUCCCGAGGCUCAACCUCGGAACUGCAUUUAAAACUGCCAAUCUAGAGUUCUGGAGAGGUAAGUGGAAUUCCUAGUGUAGAGGUGAAAUUCGUAGAUAUUAGGAGGAACACCAGAGGCGAAGGCGGCUUACUGGACAGAUACUGACGCUGAGGCACGAAAGUGUGGGGAGCAAACAGG